Molecule: long non-coding RNA, 517 nt
Filed under: Crocodylus porosus (Australian saltwater crocodile)
Lineage: Eukaryota; Metazoa; Chordata; Crocodylia; Crocodylidae
Description: lncRNA (ENSCPRG00005003735.1)
Source: RNAcentral
CAGAAAUGUUGUGUAGUUUAAACUGCUCUUGAUUAACAGUGGGACAAACAGUGGUGCAUCCCUCUCUCUUACUUUGUUAUGCAGUCACCUGGCAGCAGAAUGGCCAUGCUGUGCAAAAAGCAGGAUCUACCUUGCCAAAAGAGAUGGCGAUUCAUUAUUCUCCAUCAGGAAAGCUCUCUCAUACUAUACACAUCCUUGCUCCCUUGUGAAUGAUGCAGCAACCCUUCAGUCCCCUUCAACUUUCUCUACACCUCUGACGCAGGCAUCUCAAUCCACUAGGAGUCUUUUGCCUGCCAGAUUUUUGGCCAUACUAUGUCUCUUGCUUGGAUUUGGUGGCACAAAAGGGACUUCAAACUGCUGUAACGGAGGACUGGGAACUUCUCUAGCAGCAAUAAGGUGCUCAUUAACUGAAAUUGAUUCCGUUUUGACUUCUGGUGGUGUGCUGACCUUUGGAAGGCCUCUGCAGUGUUUGAAGCUAAAUUUGGCUUGGCUUGAUCUUCAUGACUGCAGUAGUUGA